This 371-nucleotide unclassified non-coding RNA is filed under the name uncultured fungus. Its description in RNAcentral is "sequence contains ITS1". The stretch from base 1 to 104 matches the Rfam family "5.8S ribosomal RNA", at positions 50 to 154 of the family's 154-position model. The record is from RNAcentral. Lineage: Eukaryota; Fungi.
CAGCUGCGUGAAUUAAUGUGAAUUGCAGGACACAUUGAACAUCGAUAUCUUGAACGCAUAUUGCAGCCUCGGGCAUUCCCGAGGCUACGCCUGUCUCAGGGUCGGUUCAAAGUCAAUCGCAGUGCUGCUGUCUUGUUCGCAAUUCGCGAAUGGCCUGCGCGUUGGGCGUCGCAGUCGAACCGAGUCCCCUUCCGGGACGGAGAUCGACUUCGUCGUCUGAAGAUCUACAGACGGGUUCCUCGUGCAGUAAACGUGCGGGACGGUGACUCGAGUCUAUGAGCCUCCUCCUCCCGUGCUGCUGCUGCCGUGUCGAACACAACUUCUAUUCAGACUUCGACCUGAGAUCAGACGAGAUUACCCGCUGAAUUUAA